RNAcentral lists this ribosomal RNA (468 nucleotides) under uncultured bacterium. RNAcentral's name for it is "partial 16S ribosomal RNA". It matches the Rfam family "Bacterial small subunit ribosomal RNA", at positions 28 to 507 of the family's 1533-position model. The record is from RNAcentral.
GACGAACGCUGGCGGCGUGCUUAACACAUGCAAGUCGAACGGAAAGGCCCUGCUUUUGUGGGGUGCUCGAGUGGCGAACGGGUGAGUAACACGUGAGUAACCUGCCCUUGACUUUGGGAUAACUUCAGGAAACUGGGGCUAAUACCGGAUAGGAGCUCCUGCUGCAUGGUGGGGGUUGGAAAGUUUCGGCGGUUGGGGAUGGACUCGCGGCUUAUCAGCUUGUUGGUGGGGUAGUGGCUUACCAAGGCUUUGACGGGUAGCCGGCCUGAGAGGGUGACCGGCCACAUUGGGACUGAGAUACGGCCCAGACUCCUACGGGGGGCAGCAGUGGGGAAUAUUGCACAAUGGGCGGAAGCCUGAUGCAGCAACGCCGCGUGCGAGAUGACGGCCUUCGGGUUGUAAACCGCUUUCGCCUGUGACGAAGCGUGAGUGACGGUAAUGGGUAAAGAAGCACCGGCUAACUACGUG